CACACCGACUGCAGUAUUAUCGCUCCCGUAAGCGAACUUACGAAUCCUACUAUGGAAAAGCAGUUGUCGUAAAUAUUCAGGAGGCAGUCCUUUGGCAUUGGAAGGUCGCAAGAAACGUCACGAUAACCUAAUUAAUAUGCAUAAGCCAAAGCUUGGUCAUGUCAGCUGUGCCCCAUGGACAUCAAGAAUAGGAACUUUAUUCAAUUACUUGUCUUCUUGUUUGUGGGUGCUCGCUGACGUUUCUCUGGGAAAAGCUCUAUUGAAAGUGGAUUAGAGUAAGUCUCACGACCUCCUUCUUAAGUGGAAGAAAAAACAACUGCCUGAUCUACUCUCUCAAGGGUCCAGCUCAGUUCCAAAUCUUCAAGAAGCUGUCCCAUGAGCCAGUGCAAACGCACAUGCCAUCUGGUGGUACUCCAGUGCAGCUCACCCUGUUGUCAUGGCCAGACAACACACCUACAAGAGAGAACGGAAGAAAGGAAGGAAGUGAGAAUAUUCUUUGACAUUCGACAUUUUGUUCUUCAUGAACAUUUAUUUUACGAUGCAAUGAAACGGAAGUAGCAACAGAUCUUUUUUCCAUAUUGUGACAUAAAUCUGAGUAACAGAUUAUCGGAAAGAUGGAGAUGGAGAUGUCGGCGCUGCACUCAAAAGUGGACGCAGACAAACAUGAGCUUUCAGCAUCGGGUUUAAGCGGAAUAAAUGAUUGGAGAAGUCUGGCAUAUGUCAUUUCACCGUCAGUCUGUCUUUUCACCGGAAGAUCCAAUUAUGAGAUUUUGAUUUAAAACAUAUUAAACAUAUGCAUGGAUGAAUUGUUCACAAAAUCCAUAACAUGCAUUUAGAACAUAAAAAGGGGGAAUUUUAAUUUCGUGCCGACUUUAAGUAGAAUACUUCCUCGACUUAAGGACCCAGUAUUCUUCAAGCGCAAUCGAAGAACGAACUAGUGUGUCAAUUCAAACAAAAUCAGGCCAAAAUAUUUGGAGUUCGAAACAGCUUGCCAAAGCGAAAUUUCUGGAAAAGUUCACUCCGGCUGGUAAACAUUUUUGAUCUACUGUUGGUCUGUGGCGAUUUCAUAAUAUUAGGCGUUAUAAAGUAAAAUAUAUAGCUUCCGCCACACCACCUUCCGAAUUUAACUCAUCUCGUAGUUUAAACUGCUUACGCUACUUCUUACACCUUCAGUACUCAACUUACGGAAAAAAGCGUAAAAGCUUUCUUCGUAAGUUGAAUACGGAAGGCAGUCUGGUGGAAGCUAGAUAUUUUACUUUAUAAUUUAUUAAAUAUGGAUAUUUUUCUAUGUUUUACACAAACACAUUGCUUCGCUUCAGAAGGCCUUUAUUAACCCACUGGAGCCAUGUGGAGUACGUUUAUGAUGGAUGGAUGCACUUUCUUCAGCUCAUACUCGUUGAUCCCUGUUCACUGCCAUUAUAAAGCUCGGAUGCGUCAGGAUAUUUAUUAAUAUAUCUCCGAUUGUGUUCAUCAGAAAGAAGAAAGUCAUUUACACCUAGGAUGUCUUGAGGCGAGUCCCAAAUAUUGCAGUUGAAGUCAUCGUAGCCAGCAAAGAUGAGGCGGCCAGACAUGGACAGAGCCAGUGAUGUAACGCCGCUGUUCAGGGCAGCAUCCUGGUAGCCAAUCACUUCUUGAUCCGCACGAAUAUCAUACAUCUUGCACGUGCAGUCAUCCGAGCCAGUGAUAAUUGCAUUGCCACUGGGGAAGAACUGAAGAGGUAGACAUUUGUGCAUCAAACAUUUCGUGUGAACUCACUGAAAUGGCGUUGAUGUCACUCGUGUGACCCUGGAAGGUUUGCUUGCACUGGCCAUCCCUGAUGUCCCACAGCUUGGCCAGAGAGUCGCAAGCACCAGAAACGAAGGAAUUGUUGUCCGGAGACAGAGACAGACACAUACAGUCACCAACAUGGUUCAGGAAAACUGUCUUCUGCUUUCCAGUCUCCAAAUCCCACAGUGCACUGGAAGAAAAAAAUGGGGUUCCCCCAACAGACUGGAUGCAACUUACCUGUGGAAAAACUCUCUCUUUCUCUUCCCCUUCUGCGAGAGAGGAACAGAUGAGGAUUGGAGGGGAUGAAGGAGAUCAGGGAUGAAAGGAUAAGCCCAAAGAUGGGCAGAGAAAGGGUAAGGGAGAGAGAAAGAGAGAAGGAAAGGGGAGGGCAAGGAACAGGUAAAGCGAUUGGAAUGGAAAAUCAGGUUAUGGGGUUGAAAGACAAGGCAAGAGUGAGUGUAGAAAGCAGAGGGCAGAGGAAGUGAUGGAUAGUGUGUGGCAUGAACAAAAAUAUGGUUGAUACCUGAAGAACAUCUUACAACUAUCAAAGUUCUCAGCACUGGUUCUAAAGAUCAUUUUUGAGUAGGCUUUAACAUCAUGUUUAAAGCAUUUCACACUUGUUUUAUCACAUUUGAGCAAGUUUAACACUUGAUGUGUCAUUUCUAAAAGUGUCAUUGGUGUGGUUUGUUGAACGCUCAAUGGGAGGGGGUCUGUUCUUUGGCUUUUGGGUUGAGGGGUUUGAAUUGGUUUGUCAGACCUAAUGAGUUGAGCUCGCCUAAUCAGGUUCUAAGUGGAUAUCCGGGGAAUCGGCAAUCCCGUUAAGGAAUUAGAGCAGGUGAAUCCGUGGAGCAGACGUCACAGGUGACACAAAGAGUAACGGAAGAAGGAAAGUGGGAGAAACUGAUGAAAGUUAUGAUGAUAAGGUGGUGAUGUUCUCAUGACAAUGUUAGUUUUAUAUGUUAUCUUAUAUGAUAUUUUACAUUUCCCAACUCUGGGGAGAGUCAAAUGCAAUAGAAAAGAAUAAUGACAGAGUGUUUUCGCAUUUGGCUCCUAAACUCUGGAAUAGAUUUCCUGAUAAUGUUCGAGGCUCAGACACACUCUCUCAGUUUAAAUCUAGAUUAAAGAGAGACAUCUCUUUAGCCAAGCAUUCACAUAAUGCACCCUCAUAACCUUUUACUCUAGUUAUAUCAGAUAAAAUGCACAUGAUUAUCUUUUGAAUUGUCAUGAACAGCAACUACGCUAAUUAUUUUCCAUUUCCAUCACGACUCCUGAGGUAACUAGAGAGUAUGCCAGCUCCAGUUUGGAUUCAGUCUCUUACCAAGAUUUCAGAUGCCCUCAACACCUGUGAAGAGAUGACGCAAACCCCUGCGAGGAGUUCAUACUAGCUCUGCAUCACUGCCAAAUUUUCUAUAUAUUGUAAUCAUUAUGAUUACGAUUAAAACUUGUAAUAAUUGCUUUUAAUGAGAUCAUUGUUUCUGCCAAAAUGAAUACAUGAUUUCAGCUAACUGCAUGAUCUUAUCUUAUCUUAUCUUAGAACUGUGCAUUUUUGACAAAUGGACAUUACUUUGGCACAGUCACCUCUGAUAAAAGAGUACUCUAAAUUGUAAUGAAGAAACAUGCAUUUUUUGUAAAGCUGCUUUGAAACAAUAUGUAUUGUGAAACGCGCUAUACAAAUAAAUGUGAAUUGAAUUGAA
Long non-coding RNA from Ctenopharyngodon idella (grass carp), 3461 nucleotides. RefSeq lists it as uncharacterized. The record is from RefSeq and is a predicted model, not a curated record. NCBI's taxonomy places the organism in Eukaryota, Metazoa, Chordata, Actinopteri, Cypriniformes, Xenocyprididae. The transcript is spliced from 6 exons.